Molecule: long non-coding RNA, 1208 nt
Filed under: Bos indicus x Bos taurus (hybrid cattle)
Lineage: Eukaryota; Metazoa; Chordata; Mammalia; Artiodactyla; Bovidae
Description: lncRNA (ENSBIXG00000023623.1)
Source: RNAcentral
GACUUGGCUUUCACCUCAGGAACUCUUCGAAACAGUUGUUUUGAAGGCAAUCUGCUAAGAUGGUUUGUGAAGCGCCGUUUUCUCUGCCCAUCUUGAGGGGGGACGGCUCCUUCCGCCACUUGGUCAAAUUACGGAGUGGGGCUGCUGUCCUUUGACAUGACUCUGUCCCCCCGGCCUCAGUGACUGUUGAGCAAUGCGUACAAUUAAAGUCAAAACCCUGGAUUUUCCCUCUCCAGCAUCCACAGGCUGCAGAGAGUGGAGCCUGGGUCUCUCUGUGCCUAAAUGAUUCGGUGGAGUGAGUGUCACUGUCCAAGGGAGAGAAAGUGAAGCCUGGAGUACCAAGCAUCUGUGCUGCUGGCUGGAUACUCAACCAAACACUGAAUCAGGGCACUGGGCCUUUAAGACAGAAGAAAACACAUUCUGGCGGGGUGGAGCCUGGCCCAAUUAUCCAGGUGCCGGGAAGUUGCUGGGGCCUGCCUUUGUUAGGAUCAGGUCUUGGUGGUUCUGGUUUGCAGUUCUGGCAGCACCAGCCCCGCUUCCCUACUUCCCGCCACACAAGGAAGGUUUGGCAGCGCAGGCACCCGGAAUCCAGAGCUUCUGCGUCUGCCGAGUGCCCUGAGCAAAGAUGCAGGCCCUUUCUGCUGGGGUCCCCGCUGCGGGCCGACUCCGGUGGGAACCACCUCUCUGAACCUGCAGAGCCUAGGCUCCUCCAGCUGGGCCACAUGUUCCCAAGGGAGGCGGCCGAUGGUAGGACUGGCCCGUCAAGGAGAUGCCAGUGUCCAGAGAGGGAGGCCUGAUACCCUCCACUGUGAAAUCAGACCCUGUAAAGCUGGUACAGGAGGGGCCUCCCCAGGAGACAAACCCGCCCUUCCUUCCUGGUGGUUCUUGGCUAUAAACUUUGAUCAAAGAAAACACUAUCUUUCACAUCUUUCCAAGCCUACCCUUCAGCUCCAAGACUAAGAAUUAGACCCUCUCCUUUUACCUCCUAAGGGUCCUUCGGGGAGGAUCCUCUUCCAUUCCACAAGAAUUGACUCAGUGUGACUGGGUAGACAGCUCCUGCCAUUGGUGCCCCUGAAGGAGCCUGGUCGUCUUUUCCCUACCAUACACACCCUCUGGUCUCUGCUCGCCCACCCGCCAUGCAACAGAAAUUUUCUUCUGUAACUUGGGGAGGAUAAAAUAUUUUUGGUAGCGAAGGGUUCAGAGAAGAU